This is a long non-coding RNA of Ochotona curzoniae (black-lipped pika), 1808 nucleotides long. RefSeq lists it as uncharacterized. The record is from RefSeq and is a predicted model, not a curated record. The transcript has 2 exons. Lineage: Eukaryota; Metazoa; Chordata; Mammalia; Lagomorpha; Ochotonidae.
UGUGCUUUUCUGCUACAACAGCACUUCAGGCACAGAGGAACAUCACCAGGCAAAAUAAAAGCUCCUCUUUUCUCCUGCAAACCUCAGUCUUUUGUAAGGAAAGAAAAUUUUCCCCAGAAAUUCUCAGUAGAUUUCACCUUUGUGUCUCAUUCACUAGACUGGACCACAGUGAUAACAGGGCUGUCUUAGCUGCAGCAAGCCAGGACCAGUUCUUCAUCCUGCACAUUGCGGUCUGUCUUACACCUGCGCAGAACUGGAACUAUUUUAAUGGAGCAGUAGCUGAUGGACUACUCAGCAACCCACAUGGUCACCUUACAGCGGAUGUCUAAAUCUGGCCAACUUUCUGAGCAAUGCUGCCUCUUCUAUCCAAAGGAUCUUCCCCGCUGGAGAGUGCAAGGCGCCAGUCCCCAGCCGACAGUGGAAGAUGUUAACCAGAAGCCAGAGGACACGUGCACCUGGGAAAAGGAGCCUAGCCAGUUGCCACCAGUUGCGCCCACACACCCCUCUUUCCCAUAAUUCUCGUGCACAUUGUGCCAGUGGUUUGGUCACUGUUGAGCUAUCUUUGUUUAAUGUAUUUUUGACAGAAUAGUUAGUCUGAAAAUGCUAUUUUCAAUUAAACCUUCUUGUUGAAUGGCCUUGGUUUUGAAAGGAUUCUAUUAGGAUGGCUAAUUACCUAGCAGUUGCUGCAAGGAGAUAUGGUGUGUUCAAUUUCAACUCUUAAGUAGUUCAACUCACGUGCCUAUGUUUCCCCCCAGGAGCUUGAGCAGCCAUCUUCCUCUCAUACUGCAUCUUCUCAUAGCUUGCUUUUAGAAACUAAAACAGCAGUUUCAGCGGAUGCCUUUUCUAGCCUGAGUGACCCACAGGCAACAGCCAAAGCGCCCACGGGUAACAGCCCUGGCUCCGUCUGCACAGGGGUUCUGUGUUGGCAAGCUCUCCUUUCUACUACGACAUUCCUUCAUGAACUCCAUCUAACGUCAAAGGCAACGGAAAUUCCACUACAGUUCGACAAGAUUUGUCCGUCGGCAAAUUGUUGUCACAAGCGUCUUCUUGCAAAGUGGCAGACUGAAUUGGAAUGUCCUAGGGACUCUGCUGUGACCACGUGUUCCCAAGAAACAUCACUGUCUACUUUCCUGCUGAGCUCUGCUUGCUUCUUGCAGCAGAGCUCAUAUCACAUACCUCAACAUGCUGAUGGUCUUGGGAUGUUUUCUGUUGCUCUGACAGAAUUCCCGAGACUGGGAUGUUUGUAGGCAAUCAAACUGAUUGUGGUUCAUGGUUCCAGAGCCUGGCAAGUCUACAGGCAAGACCGUGGCGUCUGGCAAGGACUUUUUCACUGCAUCACACCAUGGUCAAGCCUCUCGCGGUGAGACACAGUGUGUCCUGCCCAAGUCACUCUUCCUCUUUUUCUAAAGCCACUAAUGUCUUCCUGGCGGCCCUACCUGAUGACUUCAUCUGAACCUAAUCACCUUCAAAUGCAGUCAGCUUGUGAGUUUGGGGGACAAAGUUUCCAACGUGAACUCUAGGGAGACACAGGCAAACCCCACGGUACUUGCUGCGUGGAUAAGCUUCUCUCACAGAGAACUUUGCUGAUGGAGCUGCAUCUUUCCCCUUGUUUCCUGCCUGGCACAUAGUGGGUGCUCAGGUUUUCCCCUUGUUUCCUGCCUGACACAUAGUGGGUGCUCAGGUAGUGAAGGAAUAAACAUAUAUUGUUGUAACCUAAUUCUUUUCUAUUUUGGUUGCAUUUUUCUAAAGUUAAUAUUUUAUUAUAGUCAACUUGAAAAAUAAUAAACUUUCAACUUUAGUAUCUUAAA